RNAcentral lists this unclassified non-coding RNA (229 nucleotides) under Heterosigma akashiwo. RNAcentral describes it as "iron transporter like". Lineage: Eukaryota; Raphidophyceae; Chattonellales; Chattonellaceae. The record is from RNAcentral.
CGGGGUUUGUAAAUGAAACAAUGUAACAACCGGUUUUAUCUGAAGAACAGAUCUUGUAACGUACAUCCUUGACGUCUGCGUCAUUAUUGGCUUGAAGUGGUUACUGAUUUGAAUGCUGGAUAAGCCCAGACAGUUGACCCCAUCAAGCAAGCGAGCUGACCUCCGAGCCGAAGACCGGAACUGGUAUCGACGCGGAGUUGGGUCGCGCCUCUGCAUCAUUCCACCAAUC